RNAcentral lists this ribosomal RNA (253 nucleotides) under uncultured bacterium. Its description in RNAcentral is "partial 16S ribosomal RNA". It matches the Rfam family "Bacterial small subunit ribosomal RNA", at positions 524 to 776 of the family's 1533-position model. The record is from RNAcentral.
UACGUAGGGCGCAAGCGUUGUCCGGAGUACUGGGCGUAAAGCGUGCGCAGGCGGUUUUGUAAGUCAGAUGUGAAAUCCCCGGGCUUAACCUGGGAACUGCGUUUGAAACUACAAGGCUAGAGUGUGGCAGAGGGGGGGUGGAAUUCCACGUGUAGCAGUGAAAUGCGUAGAGAUGUGGAGGAACACCGAUGGCGAAGGCAGCCCCCUGGGUUAACACUGACGCUCAGGCACGAAAGCGUGGGGAGCAAACAGG